This is a non-coding RNA of Lolium perenne, 3902 nucleotides long. The record is from RefSeq and is a predicted model, not a curated record. Lineage: Eukaryota; Viridiplantae; Streptophyta; Magnoliopsida; Poales; Poaceae.
UAUAAGUUAUUCUCCCCCGCGCCGCCUCUCCCCUUCUCCUCCCGUCGCGCCGCCCCUUCCCUCGCCUGCGCAUGGCAGCGCCGCCGUCCGCCGUCGCCUCGCGCCCCCAGCCCCGCCGUCGCCGUCGCCUCGCGCCCCCAGCCCCGCCGCUAGCUCGCUCAGCCGCCACAUCCCGCGCCAUCUCCGCCCCCACGCCGCUCGUCGGAGGCCGGCGCGGGCGAUGGGCGGCCGGCCGACCUAUGGAAGGGGCCGCCGGCUAGCGAAUCGUCGCGCGUCCUCUCCACCCAAUCCCCACUCCUCCCCGUCUCCACCUCAGGCGUGCGCGGCCGCCGGCUCCAUCCCCAAUCGACGGUGCCCCUCGCCCCUCCCCUAUCCAUCUCUCCCCCGUGCCAAUUCCUCCACCUCUGGACCAGGUAGAAGGAGCUCGCCGGCCGUCGGUGUAGCGCGGGAUCGGCGCAAUUGGAGAUUCACGGCCGCCGAGGCGGUUUCCACUCUGCCCCCGGUCACCAUCGCCCUCCCAGCAAGCGAAGAAAAGGGGCGGCACUGGAGAGGAGACAUAGACGGGGGAGCGGAUUGAUUGUGGUCUUGGGUGGAGAGGGGUCAAAGUUGAAGUGCCUCACCUUGUUGAGCAGAUAGGGAAGUGCGACCGCUUCCUCGACCUCGAUGUCAGACUGGAAGCGACAUAGACAUAGCUGCUCUGAAGGUUUUCCAUGCUACCCAGUGGUACAAAUUUGGGAUGAAUAUGCCUUGCUUACUAAAAAGAAGAGCUCUAAAUAAGUUUUGCUGGUUAUUUCUGGUGGGUCAUGAUCUCUGUUAGAGGUGGAUUAUGUUUAUAAACCUUCAUGCUGUUAAUCAUGGGCGAGGAUUCCACUGUCAUGUUGCCUUUCUGGCAUCAAAUGCCCCUGUGUGAUCCCACAGAUUUACAGGUUCAGACGUGGUCCUUGUAGUGGGAUAUCAAAAUGGUCAGGCCUUGAGAUUCUCGCUGAGAGCUCCUUGAUGUAGUUAUUAACAUGGAGUUACGAGACAGGCAUGGAUAAAUCCAUGCUCUUCUCAAAUGGACGAAUUGGUAUGAUAAAUCCCAUUGGCUGAUCCCUUGCCUGCACAACAGCUCUCCAUGGGUGACUUCAUUGUAGUGGACCGAGAUAUUGUUGUUGUGUAGCAUUAGUGUCUUAGCUUGGUCAUACUAUUUCAUUAUCCUUUUGAAUUAUGUUCCUAAGCACACUUACACAUUUUCUCCCCAUGCCACCAGAUUUAUAUGAGCUGUUCCCGUGCAAAGAUAUAUUUAUCUUAUCAAUGUUAUGUUAUCUGGUAAAAAAAUCAUUGUUUCAGUUCCAUAAGGUGUUAUUUGGCUAGAUUGUUACCCUGGGAAUUGGGACUAAUUGGUCUCGCUAGAAAGAGUAUACAACAACAAUUCAAAUGCAGUCCCUGUGAUAUAACAAGGCUAACAAGAAAACCAGAAACAGAGCUUAUGAUUUGAUUAUCGAAAUUGGCGGUUCUUGUGAAGAUGCUGAAAAUGAUGGGAGGAAUGCCAACCUGCACCAGUUCUUUGACAUGGUCUGAAACUAUUAAAAGAGCUAUUCCAGAUCUGAAACUAUCAAAAGAGCUAUAUAUGGUACCUAUUUCUCCGAGCAGUGCCUGUUUGUUGUUCCAGGUAUGAAACUAUUAACAUUGAUGCCAUUUAUUUAACAGCUAACUCCAUGCACAGUACAAGUUCAGUUAUGAAGUUUCAGUUUCAGCUUCAGGCUAAGAAAAUGAACUUUUGUCCGUAAGAUGUUAGCAACUCUAAAACAUGGAGAGCUGUCCAUCGUGAAUGUAUCUGAAUAAAUUUAGGCAUCUAGCUUGGGUCCAUCUAAAAGAACUAAACAUAUGCAUUAGAUUUCAGUGUGCUUUCUGGUACAUGUGGUCAAUUAGAGAGUUAAACAUUUAAUGUGCUAUGACUAGGUGGUUAACCAUCUCUCUUACUUAGCUACCUGAGAUUGGGUUGAUCGCUGUUGUUUGGUUAUUAACUAAUAGACUAUAGAACAAUGGUAUUACUUUUUUGCAGUACAUUAUGAUGCUAAUAACAGAGUACUGUUUAUACAUUUCGUGACGAUGCUUGCAUUAAAAAAAUCAUGUGCAUCCAGGAGUUCAUUUCUUGGAUGAUGUUUGUGCUGAAUACCACGUCACCCCACAAGAGCCUGAAGGCGUGCUGAUUGUUUGCCUUUUCUGUUUGAGAACAGCUAGGCAGUUCUAAUUUUGGCUGAUGAAUCACUCCCUCAUCUACUAAAAAAUUCCUAGCUGUUUUGAGAUAAUCAAGACAGGCAAAUUUCAUUAACUUGAUAUGAUAGAAUCGAGUAGCAACAAUCAGUAUAUUACCGUUGUUCUAUGAAAACUGUUGCACAUUCCUGUAGUACCUGUAGGGUUGUUCACAGCCUCUUCGGUUAUGUUGUUUUGUCACUUUCGUCACACUAUGUGUUAACACGUUGGUUAGACUUAAGUGUAAUUUAGUGUUGGUCCCAGAGUAACCGUAUUUAUGACGCGGUCUCCACUGUUCUCUAUGAACGCUAUUGCUGUUGUAGUGCUAAAUAAAGGUAUGUAUCUACACAUACCUUAAAAGUAUAAAAGAGUAAUAUAGUGUACUAGCCGUAAAAAUAAACAUCUGAAAAUAAUGUAAUGAAAAUUACCAGGAUGGUUCGCAUAAGGAAGUCCUUGCCAUUUGAUUAGAUAUUUUGGCACCACAUCAUCACCAUCGACUUUCGUAGCCCUAUCAGCAAAUACGCGCUCAACCUGGAGAUUGGUAUUUCAGAAUGGGUACAAAUACAACACCGGAAGACAUGUACUAAUGGUCUAAAAUUGGAAUUAAAGUGAUACCUGCCUAUAUUGCUUAAUAAGGUUUCCUUGCCUACAUCAUGCACCCCAACCUGAUAGAUGAAGAAAUUAGCAGAAGACAUGAAUCUGAUAGGGAAUAAUAUAUUAUUAUUCAACAUAUCAUGAUAAAAUAAUUUUCCUAAGCAUGCAUAUGCAUUUCUUCUGUACCCUUCAAAAUUAACUUCUGGUAAUUGUUUAUUUUCUGGAUAUACAGGUGCAGCUGACAAUUGUCCGGCUGCAACCAGAAGAGCAUCCCUCAUCUGCACAAUGCAAAUAGCAACAAUAAGUGAAGACUUGUAGUUGUAAUCUCACUAGAAAAUUGAGAUGAAAAGGAAUGUUGAAUUAUCGUGAGAUUCUAGGGUUCAGUCAGAACGGAGGCCAGAGCUGCACGGAGACCAACGGAGGUUGACGAAGAGGUCAGGGAUGAGGGCGACAGCCUAUUGGAAAUGUUGGAGAGAGACCCCAGACCUGCAGCUGAAUGCUAUGGAGGUUCCGUUGUCUGCCUAGGGUCCAUAAGACAGCUGUUUGUUCGCCAGCCAUGCCUGCUUCGGCUUGCAUCGACCACGUCGUGCUUGGAGAGCUGCGAGAAAAGGGGCCCAGUGGAGGGGAACAUGAGGGGCGUGCUGCCGGCGCGAGCUAGCUGGUGGCAGUGCCGGGGAGUGGAAGUCGUAUAGGACAGGCGGACAGCGACGGAGAGGAGGCAGCCCCAGAGGCGAGAGGCGGGGAUGCAGGUGUGUGAGCGGCCGGUCGUUAUCGGUGGGGAGAAAGGGGAAUGGGAGGACGAGGCGAGACAGAGUGGAGUAGAUGGGUGUUGAAGCAGCGCAACACAAACUGAGGCUAUCGCCUGUCUCGAAGAGGUCCAAGCAACUGCAGAAUAGAGUAUGGGAUGCAUCCAAAAUUCCAAAUCAAGGCUGAUUGCAAGAAUCUGGUCAGACACUUCAAAGUCGGAAGUGGCAUUUGACACCUGAAGGUGUUAUUUAUCAUGAUAUUCGACCGUUUGUUCCGUUAAACUUUAUUUCAGUAGAAUUUAUGUUUUGCCCAAGAGGCUGCAAUAA